Molecule: small nuclear RNA, 105 nt
Filed under: Orchesella cincta
Lineage: Eukaryota; Metazoa; Arthropoda; Collembola; Entomobryomorpha; Orchesellidae
Source: RNAcentral
GUAUAACUUUGUUAUACAUAUACUAAAAUUGGAACGAUACAGAGAAGAUUAGCAUGGCCCCUGCGCAAGGAUGACACGCAAAAUCGUGAAGCGUUCCACAUUUUU